UUUACGCGCAAUCGCCUUGAGUUGAUCAUGGCUCAGAGCGAACGCUGGCGGCAGGCCUAACACAUGCAAGUCGAACGGAUCCUUCGGGAUUAGUGGCGGACGGGUGAGUAACACGUGGGAACGUGCCCUUUGGUUCGGAACAACUCAGGGAAACUUGAGCUAAUACCGGAUAAGCCCUUCGGGGGAAAGAUUUAUCGCCAUUGGAGCGGCCCGCGUAGGAUUAGCUAGUUGGUGGGGUAAAGGCCCACCAAGGCUACGAUCCUUAGCUGGUCUGAGAGGAUGAUCAGCCACAUUGGGACUGAGACACGGCUCAAACUCCUACGGGAGGCAGCAGUGGGGAAUCUUGCGCAAUGGGCGAAAGCCUGACGCAGCCAUGCCGCGUGAAUGAUGAAGGUCUUAGGAUUGUAAAAUUCUUUCACCGGGGACGAUAAUGACGGUACCCGGAGAAGAAGCCCCGGCUAACUUCGUGCCAGCAGCCGCGGUAAUACGAAGGGGGCUAGCGUUGCUCGGAAUUACUGGGCGUAAAGGGAGCGUAGGCGGAUAGUUUAGUCAGAGGUGAAAGCCCAGGGCUCAACCUUGGAAUUGCCUUUGAUACUGGCUAUCUUGAGUACGGAAGAGGUAUGUGGAACUCCGAGUGUAGAGGUGAAAUUCGUAGAUAUUCGGAAGAACACCAGUGGCGAAGGCGACAUACUGGUCCGUUACUGACGCUGAAGCUCGAAAGCGUGGGGAGCAAACAGGAUUAGAU
RNAcentral lists this ribosomal RNA (745 nucleotides) under uncultured bacterium. RNAcentral's name for it is "bacterial SSU rRNA". It matches the Rfam family "Bacterial small subunit ribosomal RNA", at positions 1 to 783 of the family's 1533-position model. The record is from RNAcentral.